Molecule: ribosomal RNA, 473 nt
Filed under: uncultured organism
Description: partial 16S ribosomal RNA
Rfam family: Bacterial small subunit ribosomal RNA
Source: RNAcentral
ACACUCCUACGGGAGGCAGCAGUGGGGAAUAUUGCACAAUGGGCGCAAGCCUGAUGCAGCCAUGCCGCGUGUAUGAAGAAGGCCUUCGGGUUGUAAAGUACUUUCAGCGGGGAGGAAGGCGAUAAGGUUAAUAACCUUGUCGAUUGACGUUACCCGCAGAAGAAGCACCGGCUAACUCCGUGCCAGCAGCCGCGGUAAUACGGAGGGUGCAAGCGUUAAUCGGAAUUACUGGGCGUAAAGCGCACGCAGGCGGUCUGUCAAGUCGGAUGUGAAAUCCCCGGGCUCAACCUGGGAACUGCAUUCGAAACUGGCAGGCUAGAGUCUUGUAGAGGGGGGUAGAAUUCCAGGUGUAGCGGUGAAAUGCGUAGAGAUCUGGAGGAAUACCGGUGGCGAAGGCGGCCCCCUGGACAAAGACUGACGCUCAGGUGCGAAAGCGUGGGGAGCAAACAGGAUUAGAUACCCGAGUAGUCCCA